GGUAUCCCAUACGAAUUCCCUCCUUGGGUAUCCACUGAUUCUUCCUUUUGCUGCUCUUGGUGACAGGCCUCUGGCACUCCACCCCACAGCUGGAUUGCACCUCCUCUGUGUGCCAUAGAUCUGGAUCUGUGAGAUUCCCCUUGGAGGCUCCAGAGAAAGUGCAGUAUGUAAAGCAAACAUCAGUACCUGAGACUAAGCUCCACUGACGACCCUUCAAGGGAGGGCACCCCCACUCCCUUAUACCACCGGGCCAUAAAUGUCCCACCAGAAGCAGAGCAGCUUUCCUGGCCUGCCGUCCCAGUACAGCAGUGAUGGAUGCUUCCAGCACGGCACUGACAUGGGGGCCUCAGGCUGGGCUGGCCAGGAUUCUGAGAGCUAUAGAAGAAGCCCAUGGGCAUCUCGACCCUGUUCCGUGUCGGAGCUGGAGAGGAGCUACGCAAACACCUACCCCUUGUCAGGGGUCCCCUUCAGAGGAGAGAACCCUCUGAACGGGACGCCAGGACCCUGGGAGCCCGACCACUCAAACAGCACAUGGAGAGAGUCCAGCAGGGGCUUUUUUAGCCCCAAGCACAUCGAAAGAGCCAGGUCCUUGAGCCCCUUGCGAGGGAUCCACUCCAUAGAUAGUGGGAUAGUUUUAACCAAUGGCAUGGAAUGUGCCUGGAAACAUUCCAGCCCACCACUCAGAAGGAGGCAUUCUUUAUCUCGUCUCCCGGACUGGGACACAGAAGAAUAUGGUCCCAUGCGGCCAUUGGCUCGAAGGGUGUGGAGUGGAUUGGAGCUGGACCUGCGGGCAUCUUUACCAGAGAAUGUGCAGAGGACAGCAGGGCUGAGGCCCUCUCUGCGGGAUGCUCCUGGGGUGCUAGAGGGACAAGCAGAAGAGCUGCAGAAGCUGGAACUCAACAGGGUGAAGUUUGAGCUGUUUUCCAUUAAGCAGAAGCAGAUGGAGAGCUCCGUCACCCAGCUAGAGAAGGAAAAGAGCUGGUUGGACCUGUCCCGCUAUGAAGACCAGAAACAGAGAGGGGACCUGCAAGAGAAGAUCCUUAAUUUGGAGAUGGAGGUGGUGAAGGCCAAAUCCUGCUUGAGCAGAAUGAGCUGCCGCUCAGUCUCCCCAAGUCCCAGCCAGAGGCUGUCUGCGGAGAAGGAGGAGCUGAAUCGAGAAAUGACAGCUCUUCAAGAAACCCUGAGUGAUUACAAGGAGCACAUGAAGGUUCUGGAAGCAGAACGGGAUGAAAUGACCCAGCAGCUGAACUCAGCCAAAGAGGGGCAACAGCUGGCUUUCAGCCAGACCAGUGAGGCCAACCAGAGAGUGACAGACUCGUUCCAGGUGACAACAGCACUGCACAAGGAAAUUGGCAGACUCCAAGCGGCUUACAGCAGCACCAGUCGGGAGAAGGAGCUGCUGUCUUCCAAGGUGGCCAGGCUGGAGGAGAGAGUAUCUGAGCUCACCAUGAAGCUGAAGCCUGCCCUGGCCAACAGGGAGAGGUUCCUAAAGGAGAAAGUAGAGCUGCACCUGCAGGUGCAGGAUCUCACCCUGCAGUUGGAACGUGCACAGUGGAGCCGAGAGGGAUUCAACAGCCAAGUGUCAGACCUCCACCUGGAGCUGGUGAAUGCCAAGGCCCAGGCCAACCACCAGGACCAGGAGAAGGUCCUGAUGAAGGAGGAACUGGUGACUCUCAGACAGGUAAAUGAACAGCUCUCCUCUGAACUGGGUCAGAGCCACCAGAGACUGGAGACCUCCACGGGUCAGCUCCACCACCUGGAGGCUGAGAAGAAGAUCCUGACCAAUAGGAUCCAGGCCCUGGAGACUGAGUGCAUGCAGCUGCUGGGUGAACAGGAGGCGCUGAAGUCACAAAUGCAGAGGGAUCCUGGAGGCCAGGGGAUUGAUAUGGCAGCUCUUCAAACAACCUGCGAAGGGCUCAGGGCGUCACAGUCCGUGUUGCAGGCGGAGAAGGAAGCCUUGCAGGCUCUCUGCAUGGAGCUGGAGGCUGCCUUGCAGCAUAAGCAGGAGGAGUUGUGUGGCCAGCUCGCAGAGCAGCAGCAGGUCUCCCAGCACUGGAAGGACAGAUGGAACCAGGCGGCCAUGGCCCUAAAAACCAAAGAGGAGGAACUGGAGCAAGCACACAUGGCGAGUCAGAGCUUGUCUGCCAAGCAUACUGAGCUCCUGGAGGACUGUGAGCUGCUCCAGGUGGAUGUGGAGGAGCUGGCCGAGCUGAGAGGCACUGUGUGCAGCCUGAAGGAAGAAAACAGAGACUUAAUGAGACAGCUGAGGGAGCAGCAACAGGCCACCCAGCUGCUACAGCUACAGCAAGAGCUGGCUACAAACACAUCUGUACUGGGAUCAGGCUCACAGAGGACUUCAGAACAAGAGGCCCUUUACAAAGAGAUCCAGGAAACCCACGACAGGAUAAAGAGGCUGGAGAAUGAAAAAGCUGAGAUGAAGUCCGAGAUCAGGAAACUGAAGCUGGACGGCGCUUCCGUCCUGCGGAUUGAACUGGAUGCCUGUAAGCAGGAGCUGGAGCUGGAAAAGAGCCGCAGUCAGGCUCUGAAUGGCAAAGUGCAGCUGCUGCAGUCCCGGCGCCGGGACAAUGCUACUCCACCACAUGAGCAGAUCAAGUUCCCAGCAGCCUCCAAUACCACAGCAACAUCUGGCUUAGAGAUGGAUUGUCCUGUGUCCUCUCCAAGAAGUUCUCAGAUUUCCAGUCCUCAAGGAGAACCGUUGGCCCUGGAGAGCCCCCGUGGCUUGAUGGCCUCAGGGGGCCUGUCUGAGGUGGAGAGCCUGAAGCAGAAGCUCCAGAGGGAGACUGCAUCCCGGCAGGAAAAGGAGGCACUGAUCUGGACUCUGAGAGAGCAAUUAGAAGAACUGAAACUAAAACAGCCAGGAGACAUCAAGGCCUCCCUGGAGGAAGUAGACACAGAGUUAGUGCUGGUCCGAAAAGAGCUACAGAAGGUUUGGGACAUGCUGAAAACCCGUGAUACGGCACUGGAAGAACAACGGCUGGAGUUAGAAUCGUCCAGGAGCCAGUACACUGAAUGCAGCUCAGAAAAGCUGAGACUGGAACAACUCGUCGCCUGUCUGGAGCACCAGCUGGCGGAGAGAGAACAGGCCUUGAGGCACCUUCAACAAGCAAGUGAGAUGGAAAAAAACAAGCUGGAGAUUCAAGCCUCUUCAUUAGAGCUGAAGCUGGCAGAAGUGGAGGUCCUGAGAGACGACGCCCAGCGACGCAACCAGGCAUCGGGCCCUCUAGAGGUACAGAACUCGGGCCCCAGGCAGGGCCGUGCCAGCCACUCCCAGGGGAAGUGCUCCCGGUGCGAUGCUUUUCUGGCCCAGCUGAACAAGAUGAUUCAAAGCUGUACAGAGAAAGGGGCUGUGCUGCAGGAGGACCAGGCCUUGACCUACCUGUGUGAGCUGCAGGGGCUCCUCAAGGGGCUGAGUCCGUGCGCGGCCAGCCAAGUCACAAGGAGCCCCCAGGAAAAGAGCCAGACCCUGGAACAGCAGCAUCAGUUGGUGACUGAGCAGGUAACAAACCAUGCAUUCAGCUUUGUCUCAGGCUGUCUGCCUCAUCAUAGUUUUUAUGC
Long non-coding RNA from Gopherus agassizii (Agassiz's desert tortoise), 3576 nucleotides. NCBI's taxonomy places the organism in Eukaryota, Metazoa, Chordata, Testudines, Testudinidae. The record is from Ensembl.